GACGAACGCUGGCGGCGCGCCUAACACAUGCAAGUCGAACGAGCGAGAGAGAGCUUGCUUUCUCAAGCGAGUGGCGAACGGGUGAGUAACGCGUGAGGAACCUGCCUCAAAGAGGGGGACAACAGUUGGAAACGACUGCUAAUACCGCAUAAGCCCACAGGUCGGCAUCGACCAGAGGGAAAAGGAGCAAUCCGCUUUGAGAUGGCCUCGCGUCCGAUUAGCUAGUUGGUGAGGUAACGGCACACCAAGGCAACGACCGGUAGCCGGACUGAGAGGUUGAACGGACACCUUGGAACUGAGACACGGCCCAGACUCCUACGGGAGGAAGCAGUGGGGAAUACUGCAAAAUGGGGGAAACCCUGAUGCAGCGCCGCCGCGUGGAGGAAGAAGGUCUUCGGAUUGUAAACUCCUGUUGUUGAAGAAGAUAAUGACGGUACUCAACAAGGAAGUGACGGCUAACUACGUG
Molecule: ribosomal RNA, 466 nt
Filed under: uncultured bacterium
Lineage: Bacteria
Description: partial 16S ribosomal RNA
Rfam family: Bacterial small subunit ribosomal RNA
Source: RNAcentral